UACAUAGGGUGCAAGCGUUGUCCGGAAUUAUUGGGCGUAAAGAGCUCGUAGGUGGUUCGUCACGUCGGAUGUGAAACUCUGGGGCUUAACCCCAGACCUGCAUUCGAUACGGGCGAGCUAGAGUGUGGUAGGGGAGACUGGAAUUCCUGGUGUAGCGGUGGAAUGCGCAGAUAUCAGGAGGAACACCAAUGGCGAAGGCAGGUCUCUGGGCCAUUACUGACACUGAGGAGCGAAAGCGUGGGGAGCGAACAGGAUUAGAAA
Molecule: ribosomal RNA, 261 nt
Filed under: uncultured bacterium
Lineage: Bacteria
Description: partial 16S ribosomal RNA
Rfam family: Bacterial small subunit ribosomal RNA
Source: RNAcentral